UGGUUUUUUUUUUUUUUUUUUGUCUGCUUCUGCUUGCUCUUGCUGGCAACUUCAUUCGUUUACUGGCAUUAGAGCCUACUUUUUCAGGACUCCAGCAUAUACUGAAAACCAGCUGAGCACCCAGCCUCUUGGAUUGAACAACUACUGGAUUCUUGGACUUUCUAUUUGGCAAGGGUUAACAAGAUCUUUGGAACUCUGCUUUUCCAUGGCAUGCAGAAGAAUGACCCAAAAGACAGAGUGCCACUGUUCACUCAUUUCAGAUGGACUAUCUUGGACCCAAAGCUGGGGCAGAGGCCAAGAAUUACAGAGCAGCAAAGCAGACACGGCCUGAGUCCUGGAAAAGGGUGCUUUGACUCAGAAUGACACAAUUCUGGAAAUCCCCUAUUUUAUUCUGCUUGCAGCAGAAGAUGGAGGCUCCUGUCCCUUGAGCAGGGGAACUCGGCUUCUUACAAAGAGGUGGCUGCCUGGGAAAUCUCCACACUUACUGGGGGAACAGAGAAAUCAACUGGCAGACCAUCUCCCUUGCUCAGGCACCACGAUCUUACUUUAAGGAGGCCAAAGCUCACUUGCGACUUCAGCAAUGGAUAUUUCUUGUAAUUUUAGAGAAUGUAAUGUAUUUUUUGCUAAAGGUCUCUGAGGUUAUAAAUUUCUCCAGCAUCCGAGAAUACGUAUCAGGGUUUUCUCUACUUACUUGGUCCCCUGUGGAAGUCUGCCUAUUCCAGGUAGUGAGACAGAUAGACCUGCACUUGUCAAGUUCUGAUUAUUCUGCUGCAUAGUACAAUACAUGGAUUAUCAGAUGAGAGACCCAUGUGCAGGAGGUGCAAACGACAGCAGGACCACUGUCUGAACAUUUGAUGCACCAGUGGGCUUGCCCUAAGCAUGCCACAUAUGCAUCUUGGAGACACAGCCAUGUAAAACUAUGAUGAACUCUACUGCAUAAAUGAACUGGAAGAGACUUGCAGAAGUCCAGAGUCAAAGAAGCUUGUCGCAUAGGCUGGGCUGAGCAUGCAUACCUCUGCUGACUCCAUGUUAUAGCUAUCAUCCUUGCAUGUUCGGACAACCUCAAUCAAACCUCAGUGUUGGUUGUCUGUGUUGGUCUGCCGCUUUGGAGAUACUAGGAGAACAGGAGAGAGCCAUUCACUUCUGGAUCUUAGAUGCUACCUCUAGAGAUUUUGGCAUUUCAAAGGUAGGAAGCUUAACAUACUGUCUGGGCUCAAUCCCAAGGUUAUGGUAGCAUUGCUGUAAAUAAGUUCCUUAAAUUGAUCACCAUAUAUAAAAUAAAGCUAUCAAUAGUGCCUCCCUACAGGGUUGUUAUAAAAAGUAAUGAAUAGAUACUUAGGAAAUGCCAAUAUCUGAUGCUGUUAUUCAAUUGACUUCAAGAGGGGAAAGGCUCAAAGUGGCAAAGUAGAGCACCAUGUCAAAGCUGUAGGAGAUGGCUUCACGUCUGCCGAGUAUGUUCUAAGUAGCACUGGACAAGUUCUUGAUGUAGCUUGGAGGACUGGCACUGUCACCUACUCAUGAAUGAUGGACUCGGUCCUACAGUCUAUGUAGGGGUACAAUGGUUUGCUUAUGUGCCUAAAUAAAACAGAAGGGCUCACCUGUACUAACUCAUGUGCCAUAUUUUGUAUGUAACAGUGAGCAUUCUUGCUAUUAAAUGAGUGUUAAAGGUGGAGGAGAGGCUUAAAGCUGAGUGUCCUGUCAGGCUUUCUAUAGAACACAUAUUGCAAUUUCUCCCAUUCUUUCCCUCCCCCUCCCCCUGCUUUGUCAUGCCUUCUUUAUUUUUUAUUGUCAAUUAGUAAAUAACAAUAACCACCUUUACUAUUAUUAUUAUGUAGACUAGUUAUGCAGCCCAUGCUGGGCUUUAGCUUCUGCCUCAGCUCUGUGAUGGCUAAAGAAACUUCAUCUUAUGUUAGACAUCCAU
Long non-coding RNA from Mus musculus (house mouse), 1921 nucleotides. RefSeq annotates it as predicted gene, 34052. The record is from RefSeq and is a predicted model, not a curated record. NCBI's taxonomy places the organism in Eukaryota, Metazoa, Chordata, Mammalia, Rodentia, Muridae. The transcript has 4 exons.